Molecule: ribosomal RNA, 292 nt
Filed under: uncultured bacterium
Lineage: Bacteria
Description: partial 16S ribosomal RNA
Rfam family: Bacterial small subunit ribosomal RNA
Source: RNAcentral
GUGUCAGCCGCCGCGGUAAAACGUAGGUGGCAAGCGUUAUCCGGAUUCACUGGGCGUAAAGCGCGUGCAGGUGGCUUCGUAAGUUGGAUGUGAAAUUUCCCGGCCUAACCGGGAAGGGUCAUUCAAUACUGCGGGGCUUGAGGGCAGAAGAGGGGGGUGGAAUUGCCGGUGUAGUGGUGAAAUGCGUAGAUAUCGGCAGGAACACCUGUGGCGAAAGCGGCCCCCUGGUCUGCUCCUGACACUCAGACGCGAAAGCUAGGGUAGCGAACGGGAUUAGAAACCCUCGUAGUCC